RNAcentral lists this long non-coding RNA (232 nucleotides) under Elaeis guineensis (African oil palm). RNAcentral's name for it is "long non-coding RNA (EGUI_LNC005283)". The record is from RNAcentral. Lineage: Eukaryota; Viridiplantae; Streptophyta; Magnoliopsida; Arecales; Arecaceae.
GCCCCACAAACGCAACCAAAAAAAAAAAAAGCGAUUCAAGCCUAUCACCUAAAAUGUGAAUAGGAGAGAAGAGAGAAUAAAAAUCACAGCCAUUCUUUUCUCUUUAAAUUUCUUAACAGCGAAGAGAUGGUGGCAUAUCUUUUGGGACGAAGGGGAUUGGUGUUCCUUACUUUUGAGAGCAAAAGGAACUGGGUGGACGGGGGAUUGCGAACUUUUAAAGGUUUGAUGCGGG